This 232-nucleotide ribosomal RNA is filed under the name uncultured Staphylococcus sp. RNAcentral's name for it is "partial 16S ribosomal RNA". It matches the Rfam family "Bacterial small subunit ribosomal RNA", at positions 105 to 334 of the family's 1533-position model. Lineage: Bacteria; Bacillati; Bacillota; Bacilli; Caryophanales; Staphylococcaceae. The record is from RNAcentral.
GGUGAGUAACACGUGGAUAACCUACCUAUAAGACUGGGAUAACUUCGGGAAACCGGAGCUAAUACCGGAUAAUAUAUUGAACCGCAUGGUUCAAAGUGAGAAGCGUUUGCUGUCAUUUAUAGAUGGAUCCGCGCCGCAUUAGCUAGUUGGUAAGGUAACGGCUUACCAAGGCGACGAUGCGUAGCCGACCUGAGAGGGUGAUCGGCCACACUGGAACUGAGACACGGUCCAG